RNAcentral lists this ribosomal RNA (492 nucleotides) under Sulfitobacter sp. S15. RNAcentral describes it as "bacterial SSU rRNA". It matches the Rfam family "Bacterial small subunit ribosomal RNA", at positions 400 to 913 of the family's 1533-position model. The record is from RNAcentral. Lineage: Bacteria; Pseudomonadati; Pseudomonadota; Alphaproteobacteria; Rhodobacterales; Roseobacteraceae.
CGUGUGUGAUGAGGUCUUAGGAUCGUAAGCACUUUCGCAGGGAUGAUAAUGACAGUACCUGGUAAAGAAACCCCGGCUAACUCCGUGCCAGCAGCCGCGGUAAUACGGAGGGGGUUAGCGUUGUUCGGAAUUACUGGGCGUAAAGCGUACGUAGGCGGAUCAGAAAGUAAGGGGUGAAAUCCCAGGGCUCAACCCUGGAACUGCCUCUUAAACUCCUGGUCUUGAGUUCGAGAGAGGUGAGUGGAAUUCCAAGUGUAGAGGUGAAAUUCGUAGAUAUUUGGAGGAACACCAGUGGCGAAGGCGGCUCACUGGCUCGAUACUGACGCUGAGGUACGAAAGUGUGGGGAGCAAACAGGAUUAGAUACCCUGGUAGUCCACACCGUAAACGAUGAAUGCCAGUCGUCGGGCAGUAUACUGUUCGGUGACACACCUAACGGAUUAAGCAUUCCGCCUGGGGAGUACGGUCGCAAGAUUAAAACUCAAAGGAAUUGA